Molecule: ribosomal RNA, 532 nt
Filed under: uncultured bacterium
Lineage: Bacteria
Description: partial 16S ribosomal RNA
Rfam family: Bacterial small subunit ribosomal RNA
Source: RNAcentral
UGGGGAAUAUUGCACAAUGGGCGAAAGCCUGAUGCAGCAACGCCGCGUGAGUGAUGAAGGUCUUCGGAUUGUAAAGCUCUGUCUUUUGGGACGAUAAUGACGGUACCAAAGGAGGAAGCCACGGCUAACUACGUGCCAGCAGCCGCGGUAAUACGUAGGUGGCGAGCGUUGUCCGGAUUUACUGGGCGUAAAGGGUGCGUAGGCGGAUGUUUAAGUGAGAUGUGAAAUACCCGGGCUUAACUUGGGUGCUGCAUUUCAAACUGGAUAUCUAGAGUGCAGGAGAGGAGAAUGGAAUUCCUAGUGUAGCGGUGAAAUGCGUAGAGAUUAGGAAGAACACCAGUGGCGAAGGCGAUUCUCUGGACUGUAACUGACGCUGAGGCACGAAAGCGUGGGUAGCAAACAGGAUUAGAUACCCUGGUAGUCCGCGCCGUAAACGAUGAGUACUAGGUGUAGGAGGUAUCGACCCCUUCUGUGCCGCAGUAAACACAUUAAGUACUCCGCCUGGGAAGUACGAUCGCAAGAUUAAAACUCU